UCCGCAAUAGUCUAGUGGUCAGGAUUUCCUACAUUCAGUAGUAAGGCCGGGGUUCGAAUCCCCGUUGCGGGA
Molecule: non-coding RNA, 72 nt
Organism: Dichotomocladium elegans
Lineage: Eukaryota; Fungi; Mucoromycota; Mucoromycetes; Mucorales; Lichtheimiaceae
Source: the annotation of a GenBank genome assembly